Molecule: long non-coding RNA, 1467 nt
Organism: Hydractinia symbiolongicarpus
Lineage: Eukaryota; Metazoa; Cnidaria; Hydrozoa; Anthoathecata; Hydractiniidae
Exons: 3
Source: RefSeq, a predicted model, not a curated record
AGAGAAUUUCCUUAAAUCCUUUUGCAAACAAGACAUUUCAUGACGUAAUUAAUUGUUUUUAUUUUAUUAAAUUCAUUAGACUUGAUCAUCAUCAAUUUCUCCAUGUUUACUAUUCAACAGGGUGGCAAGCCUAAGAAAAUAAUGGGUUGGGGCGGGUGGUAUUAUUUGGUUAAUUAUCACCGAAAAUGCCUUAAGGAAUAUGAAGCACCGCAAGAAAGAAAAUGACUAAAAUGUCAUCACAUUCUUGACAUAAAUGACGUUCACUCUUUUUCCACAAGCACUAUAUCAGCACCUUGGCAUGUUCAAGUUGUCGUAAUACAACAAAAAUCAUCGCACUGACGUGUGUAAGGAUAAUGAUAAGAAGGUGCACAUGUAGAAUCAAGAACAAUCCAAAUUUAUGUCAACAUCAAAUUCUAUAUUAACAAGUACGGGAAUUUUUUUUAAAAUUAACAUGCAUCAAUAACCACGUCAUUGUCCUGGAAUAGAUUAAAAAAGAUUGACAAAACGUAUAAGUUCUCUUGGAACAAAGGCGAAUGAAAUUAAUGUCGAAUUUUUUUUUAUUUCGUUUUACUUUAAGUGACGUAAAGCGCGAGCUUAAAAGUCGUUAGACCAAAUUUUGGGACUGACGAUGAGCUGGCGCAAAAGUGUCAAUGUUAAAUUAGAACCAGCGUAAAAAGCGCCAAUCUUACAAAUAGCUGUCGCGUAUUGCACGCAUGUGUCUUUGUGAGGGGUGUCAUUAACACACGUCUAUCGCAUAUAACGUCUCAUUGUUAUACUGCUAGUGUACGCUCCGAUCAGGCAAGCAUAAAACGUUAACGAAUUCUUUUUUAUUUUCACACUGAAGGUAAAAGAGUGUUCGAAGAUGUUAUUGGUAGUGUGACAAGUUUUUAAAGAUAUUGGUGUUUCGAUCUCGGACUCGGUAAUGGAAGCAACAAGUCAUAAAUCUUAAGUGUUGUUCAGUUUAUUUACUAUUUUACUAUCCUUUUACUAUCCUCUUAGGUUAUUCAAUUUUGUAUAUAUAUAUCCUUUUCUUACGCUUACGCUACCCCCUCUGCUCUUUUGUGCUUUACACGUACACUUUGCUAGCGAAUCUCGUUCUGUCGUAGGAUUCUGGGACAUCGAGCUUUGCCCUCACCCUCAUCAUUGCGCAGAAGAUUGGGAAAUUAAAUCUGUAUUCAUUGUCAUACCAUAUUUACUCCGUUAUUCCCACCUCUUUAUUAUUUCUUUCUUUCUAUUAUCCCCGCCUCCCUAGUAAACGCGCCCUUUUGGUAUUUCCUAAAAAAAUAAUCCCUUUUCUACAAUGAUAGCGCGAGUGAGAUUGCUGAUAUUUGUACCGAGUCUAUAAUGUAUUUACGUUCUUCUAUUUUCGUCGCAUGUAGCAGUGUAAACAGCAUUUUACAACAAUUUCGAAUGUAUACAUGUUAGACUUUUAGUUAAAGAAUAUAAUUUUUUUUGUUUUUUAUUGCA